ACAGCUGCGAGGCCGUGCACUAGACUGACGACGCGGGCGCUUCUGAGGACUCACGAGUGCGCUGAUGGCGCCUUCUGGACGGACACCGGACGAAGUAGCACUUGCCCUCAACUAAUUCACAACAGACGUUCUUCAAGCUCCUCAUUCCGAUCAUUUUUAUCAGGAUGUUCACCGAUUUUUGAGAGUGAAUGGUUGCAAAAAGUUGUGAGGAAAUGAAGAGUCUUUGAUGGCGAUCGGCUGCUUUGGAUCUGAAAUGGAAUUUUUGGAAUUUGUGGAAGUUUUUAUGUGUUUCAAGGGAGGGAAUGGGUUAAAAUUUUUGGGAAUCAAUGGCUUGUGGUGUUUGUUGAAUGGAAGAAUUGUGAUUUUUGGAUUUGGAUUUGGCGAAUGGCACCGCCUGGACAGAUAUUGGACCGAACUUUCUCUUGUUCUUGACGAAUUCACAAGAGACGUUCUUCAAGCUCCUCAUUCCGAUCAUUUUUAUCAGGAUGUUCACCGAUUUUUGAGGUGAGUGAUUUAGUCGAACAAUGGCACUGAGGUUAUUGUCGUGUAAAAUAUUCAGUUGUCGAUAUUUAUUGUUUUUUUAGAGUGAAUUGUUGCAAAAAGUUGUGAGGAAAUGAAGAGUCUUUGGUGGCGAUCGGCUGUUUUGGACUUGAGAUGGAAUUUUUGGAAUUUGUGGGAGUUUUUAUGUGUUUCAAGGGAGGGAAUGGGUUAAAAUUUUUGGGAAUCAACGACUCGUGGUGUUUGUUGAAUGGAAGAACUGUGAUUUUUGGAUUUGGAUUUGGCAAAUGGCAUCGCCUGGACAGACUCUGACCCGAACUUACCCUUGUCCUUGACUAAUCCAUAACAAACAUUCUUCAGACUCCUUAAUCCGAUCAUUUUUACGGAGAUUUUCACCAAUUUUUGAGGGUGAAUUGUUACAAAAACUAGUGGCGAGAUGACGACUCUUUGGUGGAAAUCGUCUAUUUUGGACAUGAGAUGGCAAUUUUGGAAUUUUCGUAAGUUUUUGUCUGUUUCAAAGGAGAUUAUGG
Diachasmimorpha longicaudata is the source of this 1028-nucleotide long non-coding RNA. RefSeq lists it as uncharacterized. The transcript is spliced from 3 exons. The record is from RefSeq and is a predicted model, not a curated record. NCBI's taxonomy places the organism in Eukaryota, Metazoa, Arthropoda, Insecta, Hymenoptera, Braconidae.